Molecule: unclassified non-coding RNA, 203 nt
Filed under: Hevea brasiliensis (rubber tree)
Lineage: Eukaryota; Viridiplantae; Streptophyta; Magnoliopsida; Malpighiales; Euphorbiaceae
Source: RNAcentral
AAUUUGGGAGUUGCAACAUUGUAGCGCCAAAAAGAUUAAAAUAGUGCAUGCAAUCAAUGCCUACUUUUUUGGGCUAUACUGCAUGGUUUGUUUAAAGUUUUAGGCACUUUCGUAUUAAAUUUUGGCCUUGAUGAAAAAUCUACAUGCCAGCUGAGUAGGAUUUAUGUUUUUGUCAAUUUAGGUAUUUACAACUCACCAUUGGA